UUCCCAUGAUGAGGACAGGCAUGAAUGUACGCAUUGAGAUGUUCCCAUGCUUUAGGAAUCAUCACGUCAGACUGUUGCUGGAAGCUCAAAAUCUUCCCACAUAAGGCA
This is a small nucleolar RNA of Sorghum bicolor (sorghum), 108 nucleotides long. It matches the Rfam family "Plant small nucleolar RNA R71". From Rfam's summary of the family: R71 is a member of the C/D box family of snoRNAs containing the C (UGAUGA) and D (CUGA) box motifs. Multiple nearly identical copies of this snoRNA have been identified in Arabidopsis, and it is thought to function as a 2'-O-ribose methylation guide for 18S ribosomal RNA. The record is from Rfam. NCBI's taxonomy places the organism in Eukaryota, Viridiplantae, Streptophyta, Magnoliopsida, Poales, Poaceae.